RNAcentral lists this long non-coding RNA (845 nucleotides) under Manacus vitellinus (golden-collared manakin). RNAcentral describes it as "lncRNA (ENSMVIG00005016491.1)". The record is from RNAcentral. Lineage: Eukaryota; Metazoa; Chordata; Aves; Passeriformes; Pipridae.
GAUUAUGAACCUUUCUGCAGCAAGAUCUGAAACAGCCAGAUUCCAAUUUAAAUCAAAGUCCCUAGGAUUCACUUGUGAUUUCCAGUAAGGCUUCUUUAAGCUGGCAACCUGCCCUGCAAUUUCCAGGGACAGCAAACCUGUGAGACAGAUGCACUCACUGUGUGACUGAGGAUGCUCUCCAGCCCUGCUGAGCCAGCCCUGGGAGCGGGGCUGUGUGUGGGGUCUGCUGUUUUCUAGUUGGAGUGAUUUUUAUAGCCUGUAUUAUAAGGAAACCCACACGUGAGGAAAGGAAGAAGGAAUUAAAUGGAAAACAAACCACAGGCCCAGCCAUUAAUCCUUCUGGGGAAAGCAGGGCCUGGGCUGCAUUCUUCAGCAUCCAACCCACUGUGGGACACACGAGGUGAAAGUCGUCAACAGUCUGAGCUGAGUCUCUGGUCAGCCAUCGUUCUGGGGGAUCUGCUGCUGCUCUCCCACUGGAGCCUGUUCCUUUGUGCUCUUUCCAUGAGGAGCAGCCAAAAUCAUGAAUUAAACAUUGCUGAUAUUAAAGAGGACUCCUGGCAUCUGCCCCAAAUGGAGAAAUCAACGUGUCAUUCAUUACAGCUGCUCGUGUGUCCUUACGCACCACUCUGCACGUGUGUCUGAGCACAGCCCUGUCAGUGCUGUGCCGUGGCUGUCGCAGCCCUGGGAUGCUCACGCAGCCUCAGAACAGAACCCUCUGCAGGCAAACUUGAAAGAAGCUGGGCAGUGUCUGGAGCAGCAGCAAGGAAUCUGGGAUUGGGAACUCACCACACUGUUAUUGACUGGUCUCCAUUCCCAAGAGGACAAACUGGGGCCUUGUUUGCCAG